This 5598-nucleotide long non-coding RNA is filed under the name Gallus gallus (chicken). RNAcentral's name for it is "lncRNA (ENSGALG00010007016.1)". The record is from RNAcentral. Lineage: Eukaryota; Metazoa; Chordata; Aves; Galliformes; Phasianidae.
GAGCUUUCUAUGAGGGUCAUGGAGGCAUUUCCUUGGCACUAUGCUGACUGAAUCCUCUGCUGGGUGACUACAGCUCCCAGUACAUAGGUGGUGGUGUAGCUGCAGUAAUGAAAGCUCUAAAAUUUCUUCCCAGUUUAGACAAAGGAAGUAAAAAUAUAAGUUGUUUAUUUAAUCUUCCCAAUGCCACUCGAAAGUCUGGAGCUAGGUGCUUGAAUCCUUUAUUGAUUCUGAAGCAGAAGUGAACUUGCCACACUGAUGUGCAGACAGCUGCAGGUGCGACUGCUGGUCUCUGUCAGCAUCAGCUAUGGCUUUGUAUGGAUCCAGCGUGUUACUGUAAGUGGCAUCUGCUCUGCCUGUAGACUGGCUCACAGGACACCUUCAGACCUGAGACUGCUUCUUUUUUCCACUUCUAGCAGGAAGGUGGUUAUGAGAGCCAGCACUUCCUUUCUCAUCUUCCUCCAGAGAAGGCUUCCUCCUGGGUCUGGGCAUGGGCCCCUGCCGCUGUAUUGCUGAUCACACUCUUAAGCAGCUCAGGGCACUCCAUUCAACAGCUCUGUCUCCUAAGGGCUGGCAGUGGAGGCAAGGGUAUCUUGCUGGAGAUCCCUACCUGCUGGCAGUCUUCUAAAGGUAAGCAGUUUUUGUUUUUCUUCUUUGUUUCUGUGUCUAUGGCUGCUGUAUUUGGGCUUGUUCUCUUUUACUACAGCUUAGGAUUAUUCUACUCUGCUAUUAUUGCUGUACUUUCCAUCACAUUAUAGCAUUAUGCAUUGAGCCAGCCAUAAAAAAAUAAAAUAAUUCUUUAGAUGGUCACUUGGACUACUGGCACACCAAGAGAGGAACUCUUGGCAGAAACUCUGGGAUUCCUGGGUUCUCCAUGACUGAAUUUAGCAUAGAUUACUGAAGAAAAGGGACCUAAGAGGGACAGUGGUCCCAUUAUUAAAUCUCAUUCAAAAAUAACUGACUUUCUGAAUAAGUUAGGACAAAAUCUUCUGACAACCAAGGAAAAAGUAGUAGCAGCAUCUACCAUGGCAUAGCCACUGCUGCUCACUAUUAACACGUAUCAUUCCUUGGAAGAAUUAAAAGAUGAAAAUAAACUUUUAAAAGCCUCUAUUAGACACCAGGAAAAUAAAAUUGCAUCUCUAACAGGGCAAACUGCCCCACCUUCAAAUGGAUCUUCCUCUUUGAAAUUAAGACCCUGACGUGUGGAAAUCAGACCCUAUAGCCAGUAAGGAUGUAGAGAAGGUAUGUGUUUAUUGGUGAGGCGCGUACACCCUGGUGCAAGGGGGAUCGUUCCACCUAACUUGCACACUGUCAGGAGAAAUCAUGCUGCAGAUAUAGGUUGAACUAACACAUAAUCAAUAGUUGAUGGGAAUUUGGAUACAUAUUCAUUACUUUCCUGAGAGCCCAUUAGCAUGCAGUCUCUCCCCCCCUUGCGCGUGUGUAGUAGGUUGUGAUGAUGAAGGCUCGUAGCCUUCCUCGUGAAGGCUCGUAGUCUUCCUUGCUGCAAACUUCUGACCCCGAAGGGGGGGGGGCAUCCCCUGAACUGGUUUCAGCUUGCCCUGUAGACAUCUAAUCACCUCCCUGCCAAAUGUUUUCGAGCUGCUCUCCAGUCCUUAUCUUCAUGGCCUUCAUUCUCCUUGUUAUUCCAGACCUAGUGUCUGUGAAAGUGCUUGGAAUCCCUUGUUUUCUAACACUCUCUACCUAAACUAUCUGUAUUUGCCUCUUAUUUCUACUUUGUGAAGCUACUUUGCCUUUUCUUGAUGUGAGGCCCUUCUCUCUAUAUCUGCAGGGUCCUGUUCUCACUCUUCAACCCACGUCAUUGGAAGGGGAGGACUUGGAUCAGCAGGAUCCUUGGAUCCUAAUUGAAUCCAAGAACAAAAAGAAGGCCAAGCCUAGAAGGCCAAAAAAAUCCAAUUAGAGGAUCUGGGAACCUCAGUUCCUCUAGGAAUAAGACCAGAAAUAACUCAAAAGGCAAAGGAAAUCCAGAAUAGACUAGCAGGGUUGACACCCAAAGAGUGGCCCCCUGCCUACACCACACUACAUGUAACACAGCCACUGAAUUUAUGGAUUUGUUGCAACAAUUUAAAUACCUCAGGAGAGUGUACCAGCCUGGCUUUUGAGAUUAUGGGAUAUGGGGGCUGAAAGUGUGGUAAGUAAUGGGCCUGAGAUUUCCAGACUUGCAUCCAUUACCACAAAUCUGGCCCCCAGACUCAGGCUGUAUGUGACGGUAAUACAUAAUGAAGAAAUCCAUUAUUUCAGUGGAUAAUGGUAGCAUGUAGAAUUACAUGGCCAAACAAAAGUGACAUACCAAUAGAUACUGUUUUAUGGACCUCAGUCCAUGAAGAACUCCAAAAUUAUAUUAGAGAACUAGUGAUAAAGGAGGCCAUUUAUGAUGAUGCAUUUGAGACUCCUGACCUGUUUAAAUUUUUGGCAGGAAUGAAGGACCUCAUACUACAACAAGCCCCUCCCCACCACUAUGGCACACUGGUGUCCAUACUGAACCCUUUAGUGGACUUAGAGGUCAUGAUCUGGGAAAGACAGAGAACCCUCAGAACAGGUGCAAUUACUGAAUGUUGGAAGGGGCUGAGGUCCUCUCUGUUAACUAAAAGCAGGAGAUGAGCUGCAUGGACUCCUCAACUGGGGACCCUUAUGGGUAUCCUGAAAGCAGAUGCUUAAUGACUUAAUCUGGGCUGGGGUUCAAUUUGCUAAAAUUGGGCUGAUGAUCAAUCAUGUCCUCCUCCAGCUAUGGAGUCAGUUGAAGGACAAGUAAAAGUUUCAAAAUAUCCCUGAAAAAGCAAGGGUAAGAAUUACUGAAAAAAAAUACGAACGAGAACAUAGAACCUGGAAGAUUUCCUAGUUCCCAAUAAAAGGAAAAGCCUCCUCAAGUAACUUGGGCCACUAUGCCUGAGCCACCUGAGGAAGAAGAAUUGGCAAUUACUCAGUUAAUGGCAUGGCACAAGAUGCCAGCCCCCCUGCACCUAGGGCCACUGGGCAGGACCGGAGGCCCUAUGUCAAACUGAAUAUUUUUUUGGUCCCAAAAGAAUAUACAGCAAGUUAUGGCACUAGUUGACAUGGGCCCUGAAGAUGCUACAGACAAUAUGGGCAUCUCCACUUAGGAUCCAAAUUAUAGGCACCAAAAGUUGGAUAAGACCUCAAAUCAGCAAUGAAAAUCUGCUCACUGGUCCUGGAAAUGUAGAAUUAGAAUGGCCUUGGAAGUUGCAAGUAGGAUCAAAGUGGUGUGGCCUUCUUGAACCCUGGGUGAGAUUAUUGAAGGUUGGGGGAUCACUAGUCCUUUCAAUAUUAGGUACAUGGCCUGCAGACACUGGUCAGCAUCCCAGUUUUCAUUGCUAAGGGGACCUUAAUUAUGUCUCUUGAAAAUCAUGAUCUCCCUCCCACCCUUGGUACCCAAUAUGGUUAUGAAGCCUCAGAUAUAGGGCCAAAGGGUAUGGUGCAGGCAGCUGGGACGUGCCCCAGGACAAGCUCAAGUGUUGACCCAGAACAGGAAUGUGACCUGUAUCUUGCCAUGGAGGGUGGACUUCCCCCUUUUGGUACCUCUGAAACAUCUAUGCUGUUAGUCUCUUUGAGUCCACAGGAUCACUGGGAGGAGCAAUGUGACAUUAAGAUGCUCCAGUGUCACUACAAGAUCAGAGUGAGACCUGAUGGUGGACUAUAUUGGGCAGAUAGAAUGAGAGCUGGACCUUCCCUGGUCCAAGCAACAGUGUACCUCCAGAAGAACCAUUGAGUACUGGCCCACAAAGGAACAUGUUCUUCCACCAAUCAUCAAUCAUCUCAUAUUUUGUCAACCUACACCAUGAUGGGGAAAUGGUACAAAGCAUUGUGGUAUACUGGACUGCUGUAAUGGAAAGGACUUACCUUCAAUCUGCUCAAUCACUGGUUCCAACUGUCAAGGGUUGGAGUGUAGUGGAAGUGCCAGGUCAUGGCCUGAAACAGUGAUUAAGCACCUGGUGGGAAGGCAGGGUCAACCCAGGGGAUCUCAGGUGUGUGCAAUGACUCUGAGUGAAUGGAAGGGGUGGAGCCAGGAUCCUCAUUUUAAGGGUUGGCGGUGAAGGUAAGGGUAUCUUGCUGGAGAUCCCUGCUUAUGUGAGGCCUUCCAGAGGUAAGCAGUUUUUCUUCCUUUGUUUCUGUGUCUAUGGCUGCUGCAUAUGGGCUUGUUCUCAUUUGCUGUAGCUUAGGAUCAUGCCACUCUGCUACUAUUGCUGGACUUUCCAUCACAUUAUAGCAUUACAUGCUGUGAUUUAAACCAUGAUUGAAGUUGUCAUUAAUUCAGUUUAAGAUGAUGCUCAAGCUUUUCCCACUUUUCCUUUAGGGGAAGAUGCAAACAAUUUUUUCAACUUAGAGCAAGAUUUUAAACACUUUUGGCCUUUUUAAGUCUUCCAAAAUGAGGCAAGGAGAACACACUGUUCAUAACUCUUGGUCUUCUCCUGUGUGUGACAGUAAUUCCUCAAAACAUUGUGCAAGACAAGUGAGAAGUGUCUUCAUCAAGGUAUUGAACUAAUGCCAGUAGCCCCUUAGGAAUGGUUACAAGGAGUUGUCACCACAACGUGACCUCCACUGAUGUUCCAAAGCCCAUUUGAAGCUGCAAGAGGAGUUGCCAAAACAAACAUCCAUACAAAAUAUACAAGGACUUGAAAUGAUGCCCAAUGUGUUUUUAUAUGUAUUGUAUCCUUUGUAUUUUUGUAAGAGGAAAGAUAAUGAAGGGAGUCAAAAAUGUGAAAUGUGUGCUCAUUCACAAUAUGAAUGAUGUUUACAAAACAUUCUUCUUAACAAUAGAGUUGGCAGUCCUACUUAAGGCCAAAGGAAGUCUAAAUCACUCUUUUGACCUUCCUUAGGCUGUAGGAACCUGGGCCUUCUCCCUCUCACAAGAUAUUAUAACAUAUUUCUGUAAUUAUUUGUGGAGGAAUGCGUAGGCACAAAUAUUGUUGACAGAGAGUAUAUGUUAAACAAAGCUAUUGAAAAUGUCUGCUUAAUGUUAACAGAAUGCUGUUAGGCAUUUAGAAAAUGAGUAAUAAAUUGCCACUGUUUCUAUAGGCAUGUACAGUGCUGUGCUUAUGUUUUGACAGAGCAAAACCAAACAAUGUAGUCACACUUACAACUCUUCUAUAUCAAAUUGAAACCACCCAGCUUCUUUUAUAGUGUGUAGGACAGAGCAAUGCCAUUAUUCACUCAGAACCACAUGAAGACCUUGUGUCUCUGAAAGAUUUGGAUCAGAUUUCCCAAAUCCUAGGUUAACAGCUGAACUUCUUUGCCAUCUUUCUCCUGUGUUCUUUUUAUCAGCUAGAUUAGCAAGGUACUGCUGUAUCCUAGCAGUAAUACAAUAAUACAAUUAUUUGUAUUGUUGCAAUAGGAAUGCAAAUAUUAUUGCAUAAUAUUGUAUUAUUGUUACAAUUGGAAAGAUUAAUGUGGUGGAAGGGCAAUUCAGGAGGGUAACAGCAAAGGGACCAGUGUAGAUGAGAUGGUAUUUCAAAGGAAAAGUGAAGGUUCUCACUGGUCUCUGAAGAUCUAGGCUCACAGGAAAGACUCCACAAGGGUGGGGUCUCCAACCAGAGAUCCUUCCCCAGUGGCAGUCAGCCCUUAAAUGAG